AGAUUGAACGCUGGCGGCAUGCUUUACACAUGCAAGUCGAACGGUAACAGGCCGCAAGGUGCUGACGAGUGGCGAACGGGUGAGUAAUACAUCGGAACGUGCCCAAUCGUGGGGGAUAACGCAGCGAAAGCUGUGCUAAUACCGCAUACGAUCUAUGGAUGAAAGCGGGGGAUCGCAAGACCUCGCGCGAUUGGAGCGGCCGAUAUCAGAUUAGCUAGUUGGUGGGGUAAAAGCCGUACCAAGGCGACGAUCUGUAGCUGGUCUGAGAGGACGACCAGCCACACUGGAACUGAGACACGGUCCAGACU
RNAcentral lists this ribosomal RNA (308 nucleotides) under uncultured soil bacterium. Its description in RNAcentral is "bacterial SSU rRNA". It matches the Rfam family "Bacterial small subunit ribosomal RNA", at positions 26 to 337 of the family's 1533-position model. The record is from RNAcentral.